GUCAGUCUUCGUCCAGGGGGCCGCCUUCGCCACCGGUAUUCCUCCAGAUCUCUACGCAUUUCACCGCUACACCUGGAAUUCUACCCCCCUCUACGAGACUCAAGCCUGCCAGUUUCGGAUGCAGUUCCCAGGUUGAGCCCGGGGAUUUCACAUCCGACUUGACAGACCGCCUGCGUGCGCUUUACGCCCAGUAAUUCCGAUUAACGCUUGCACCCUCCGUAUUACCGCGGCUGCUGGCACGGAGUUAGCCGGUGCUUCUUCUGCGGGUAACGUCAAUCGACGCGGUUAUUAACCNCAUCGCCUUCCUCCCCGCUGAAAGUACUUUACAACCCGAAGGCCUUCUUCAUACACGCGGCAUGGCUGCAUCAGGCUUGCGCCCAUUGUGCAAUAUUCCCCACUGCUGCCUCCCGUAGGAGUCUGGACCGUGUCUCAGUUCCAGUGUGGCUGGUCAUCCUCUCAGACCAGCUAGGGAUCGUCGCCUAGGUGAGCCGUUACCCCACCUACUAGCUAAUCCCAUCUGGGCACAUCUGAUGGCAAGAGGCCCGAAGGUCCCCCUCUUUGGUCUUGCGACGUUAUGCGGUAUUAGCUACCGUUUCCAGUAGUUAUCCCCCUCCAUCAGGCAGUUUCCCAGACAUUACUCACCCGUCCGCCACUCGUCAGCNAAGCAGCAAGCUGCUUCCUGUUACCGUUCGACUUGCAUGUGUUAGGCCUGCCGCCAGCGUUCA
Molecule: ribosomal RNA, 725 nt
Filed under: Kosakonia sp.
Lineage: Bacteria; Pseudomonadati; Pseudomonadota; Gammaproteobacteria; Enterobacterales; Enterobacteriaceae
Description: partial 16S rRNA
Source: RNAcentral